UCAGAAUUGGCUUUUCUGAGCUCU
This 24-nucleotide small nuclear RNA is filed under the name Arabidopsis thaliana (thale cress). Its description in RNAcentral is "snRNA_02575". The record is from RNAcentral. Lineage: Eukaryota; Viridiplantae; Streptophyta; Magnoliopsida; Brassicales; Brassicaceae.